Molecule: long non-coding RNA, 325 nt
Organism: Bos taurus (domestic cattle)
Lineage: Eukaryota; Metazoa; Chordata; Mammalia; Artiodactyla; Bovidae
Source: Ensembl
UGCCAGGGAAUUCCCUACAAAUGAACUUUCGACAAUAAUUAUGCUUUAUGUUUUAAAUGCACGUAGGGAGCCGCUGAUCAGCCAACAGAUGGUUUCUCUCUGACUGAAAGGACGAAGAGAGAACAGAGGAAUGGAAUCAGCUCCAAGACAUCACCUGACAUCAUCUCUUGUGACUACUACACUGAGAACAGAAGAGGCAAUGGCGACUGAGGGUCAUUACUACUGUGGGCAGGAAUCCCUUAGAAGAAAUGGAGUAGCCAUCAGAGUCAACAAAAGAGUCUGAAAUGCAGUACUUGGAUGCAAUCUCAAAAACAACAGAAUGAUC